RNAcentral lists this unclassified non-coding RNA (341 nucleotides) under plant metagenome. RNAcentral describes it as "partial contains 5.8S ribosomal RNA, internal transcribed spacer 2, and large subunit ribosomal RNA". The stretch from base 1 to 103 matches the Rfam family "5.8S ribosomal RNA", at positions 50 to 154 of the family's 154-position model. The record is from RNAcentral.
GAAGUGCGAUAAGCAAUGCGAAUUGCAGAACCGUGAGUCAUCAGAUUUUUGAACGCAACUGGCGCUGGUUGGUUAUCCAGCCAGCAUGCUUGUUUCAGUGUCUCCUUAUCCCCUCACCCAAAUCUUAAUGCGAGAGAUGCCCUUCUCUCGUCAAGCAUGAAAGCGCUCUGCGCUCUGCGAGCGACUCCGACUCGUUCGAGGUCGCACUCAAUGCAGUGGUCACAUUGUUCACAAUGUGAACUCAUUGAGAGUAGAGGCAGUGCAGCUCCGGCUGCCAGCGCUUAGGCACUCAAACUUUACUUGUAUCUGAAAUCAAGCAGGACCACCCGCUGAACUUAAGC